UACGAAGGGGGCUAGCGUUGUUCGGAAUUACUGGGCGUAAAGCGCACGUAGGCGGAUGUUCAAGUUAGGGGUGAAAUCCCAGGGCUCAACCCUGGAACUGCCUCUAAUACUGGGGCAUCUAGAGUCCGAGAGAGGUGAGUGGAAUUCCGAGUGUAGAGGUGAAAUUCGUAGAUAUUCGGAGGAACACCAGUGGCGAAGGCGGCUCACUGGCUCGGUACUGACGCUGAGGUGCGAAAGCGUGGGGAGCAAACAGGG
Molecule: ribosomal RNA, 255 nt
Filed under: uncultured bacterium
Lineage: Bacteria
Description: partial 16S ribosomal RNA
Rfam family: Bacterial small subunit ribosomal RNA
Source: RNAcentral